GCUUAAAGGGGCCGUAGCUUGAUAAUAGGGUCCCUUGAGAAAUCCGCCGGCUUAACUGGCGGGCGUUCAGGGGAGACUUGUUUUCUAGGGACCGGGAGAGGUGAGGGGUACAGCCGGGGUAGGAGUGAAAUCCUGUAAUCCCGGUGGGACCACCUAUGGCGAAGGCAUCUCACCAGAACGGGUCCGACAGUGAGGGACGAAAGCUGGGGGAGCAAACCGGAUUAGAUACCCGGGUAGUCCCAGCUGUAAACUAUGUGCGUUAGGUGUGUCAGUGACCACGUGUCACUGAGGUGCCGAAGGGAAACCGUGAAACGCACCGCCUGGGGAGUACGGUCGCAAGGCUGAAACUUAAAGGAAUUGGCGGGGGAGCACCACAACGGGUGGAGCCUGCGGUAUAAUCGGACUCAACGCCGGGAAUCUCACCGGAUAAGACAGCUGAAUGAUAGUCGGGAUGAAGACUCUACUUGACUAGCUGAGAGGAGGUGCAUGGCCGUCGUCAGUUCGUACUGUGAAGCAUCCUGUUUAGUCAGGCAACGAGCGAGACCCACGCGAGCAGUUGCCAGCUUGACCUUCGGGUUGAUGGGGACACUGCUCGGACCGCCUCUGCUAAAGGGGAGGAAGGACUGGGCAACGGUAGGUCAGCAUGCCCCGAAUUAUCCGGGCUACACGCGGGCUACAAUGGACAGGACAAUGAGUUUCGACACCGAGAGGUGAGGAUAAUCUUCUAACCCUGUCCCAAGUUCGGAUUGCGGGUUGUAACUCACCCGCAUGAAGCUGGAAUCCGUAGUAAUCGCGUUUCAACAUACCGCGGUGAAUAUGUCCCUGCUCCUUGCACACACCGCCCGUAA
Molecule: ribosomal RNA, 848 nt
Filed under: uncultured prokaryote
Description: bacterial SSU rRNA
Rfam family: Archaeal small subunit ribosomal RNA
Source: RNAcentral